Molecule: non-coding RNA, 48 nt
Filed under: Schistosoma haematobium
Lineage: Eukaryota; Metazoa; Platyhelminthes; Trematoda; Strigeidida; Schistosomatidae
Source: RNAcentral
AUCCAGCUGAUGAGCCCCAAAUAGGACUAAAUGAGCGUCGAACUGGAU